AUCUGGAGAGAGACGCAUCGCGUCCACCGAAGGGGAUACCGCGCGACGCGGUUCAAGCUCUCAGGUACCAAGACAGAU
RNAcentral lists this non-coding RNA (78 nucleotides) under Bordetella genomosp. 1. RNAcentral describes it as "Bordetella genomosp. Glycine sequence". It matches the Rfam family "Glycine riboswitch aptamer", at positions 9 to 86 of the family's 94-position model. From Rfam's summary of the family: This family represents the bacterial glycine riboswitch. Glycine riboswitches usually consist of two metabolite-binding aptamers domains with similar structures in tandem. The aptamers cooperatively bind glycine to regulate the expression of downstream genes. The record is from RNAcentral. Lineage: Bacteria; Pseudomonadati; Pseudomonadota; Betaproteobacteria; Burkholderiales; Alcaligenaceae.